Molecule: long non-coding RNA, 153 nt
Filed under: Parus major (Great Tit)
Lineage: Eukaryota; Metazoa; Chordata; Aves; Passeriformes; Paridae
Description: lncRNA (ENSPMJG00000003576.1)
Source: RNAcentral
UGUGUCCUGACAGGUGUGUGCAGGUGAGUCCUGACAGGUGUGUACAGGUGUGUGCAGGUGAGUCCUGACAGGUGUGUGCAGGUGUGUCCUGACAGGUGUGUGCAGGUGUGUGCAGGUGUGUGCAGGUGAGUCCUGACAGGUGUGUACAGGUGU